Molecule: ribosomal RNA, 484 nt
Filed under: uncultured bacterium
Lineage: Bacteria
Description: partial 16S ribosomal RNA
Rfam family: Bacterial small subunit ribosomal RNA
Source: RNAcentral
AUUGAACGCUGGCGGAAUGCUUUACACAUGCAAGUCGAACGGCAGCACGGGGGCAGCCCUGGUGGCGAGUGGCGAACGGGUGAGUAAUACAUCGGAACGUGCCCGGUCGUGGGGGAUAACGUAGCGAAAGUUACGCUAAUACCGCAUACGAGCUGAGGAUGAAAGCGGGGGACCUUCGGGCCUCGCGCGAUCGGAGCGGCCGAUGUCCGAUUAGGUAGUUGGUGGGGUAAAGGCCUACCAAGCCGACGAUCUGUAGCUGGUCUGAGAGGACGACCAGCCACACUGGGACUGAGACACGGCCCAGGCUCCUGCGGGAGGCCGCAGUGGGGAAUUUUGGGCAAUGGGCGCAAGCCUGAUCCAGCCAUUCCGCGUGCAGGACGGAGGCCUUCGGGUUGUAAACUGCUUUUGUACGGAACGAAAAGGCUCUGGCUAAUACCUGGGGCUCAUGACGGUACCGUAAGAAUAAGCACCGGCUAACUACGUG